RNAcentral lists this non-coding RNA (27 nucleotides) under Mus musculus (house mouse). The record is from RNAcentral. Lineage: Eukaryota; Metazoa; Chordata; Mammalia; Rodentia; Muridae.
UGGAAGUUUGUGUUUCUUCUUGUGAGU